GGGGAAUAUUGCACAAUGGGCGCAAGCCUGAUGCAGCCAUGCCGCGUGUAUGAAGAAGGCCUUCGGGUUGUAAAGUACUUUCAGCGAGGAGGAAGGCAUUGUGGUUAAUAACCGCAGUGAUUGACGUUACUCGCAGAAGAAGCACCGGCUAACUCCGUGCCAGCAGCCGCGGUAAUACGGAGGGUGCAAGCGUUAAUCGGAAUUACUGGGCGUAAAGCGCACGCAGGCGGUCUGUCAAGUCGGAUGUGAAAUCCCCGGGCUCAACCUGGGAACUGCAUUCGAAACUGGCAGGCUAGAGUCUUGUAGAGGGGGGUAGAAUUCCAGGUGUAGCGGUGAAAUGCGUAGAGAUCUGGAGGAAUACCGGUGGCGAAGGCGGCCCCCUGGACAAAGACUGACGCUCAGGUGCGAAAGCGUGGGGAGCAAAC
This 425-nucleotide ribosomal RNA is filed under the name uncultured bacterium. RNAcentral describes it as "bacterial SSU rRNA". It matches the Rfam family "Bacterial small subunit ribosomal RNA", at positions 356 to 773 of the family's 1533-position model. The record is from RNAcentral.